Molecule: ribosomal RNA, 492 nt
Filed under: uncultured bacterium
Lineage: Bacteria
Description: partial 16S ribosomal RNA
Rfam family: Bacterial small subunit ribosomal RNA
Source: RNAcentral
AGUGAACGCUGGCGGUAGGCCUAACACAUGCAAGUCGAACGGCAGCACAGUAAGAGCUUGCUCUUACGGGUGGCGAGUGGCGGACGGGUGAGGAAUACAUCGGAAUCUACUUUUUCGUGGGGGAUAACGUAGGGAAACUUACGCUAAUACCGCAUACGACCUACGGGUGAAAGCAGGGGAUCUUCGGACCUUGCGCGAUUGAAUGAGCCGAUGUCGGAUUAGCUAGUUGGCGGGGUAAAGGCCCACCAAGGCGACGAUCCGUAGCUGGUCUGAGAGGAUGAUCGCCCACACGGGAACUGAGACAGGGCCCAGACUCCUACGGGAGGCACCAGUGGGAAAUAUUAGACAAGGCGCGCAAGCCUCAACCAACCAUACCGGGUGGAUAAAGAAGGCCUUCGGUUUGAAAACCCUUUUUUUGGGAAAAAAAAAGCACCAGUUAAACACCCCCCUUUUCUGACGUUCCCAAAAAAAAAAGCCCCGGCAAACUUCGUC